This is a long non-coding RNA of Saccostrea echinata, 582 nucleotides long. RefSeq lists it as uncharacterized. The transcript is spliced from 4 exons. NCBI's taxonomy places the organism in Eukaryota, Metazoa, Mollusca, Bivalvia, Ostreida, Ostreidae. The record is from RefSeq and is a predicted model, not a curated record.
UAAGGGUAGAGUCUAUAACAUAACCCAGUCACGGAUUCCGGGAAAAUUAUUUCCGGUAUGGUUUUCAAAUGUACAAUUUGCUUUAACACCGAACCCGAUUGUAUUUUUCGUGACACUGUUUGGAAAUCCAAGUAAGGAAAGUUCGAGGUAUUGAAUGCCGUUAUCCUUUCAUCUCAGCAACUGUAUGAAAUGGAUGAAGAAACAAGUGACACUUGGAAAGAUCUGUUCGAUGUAAGAUCAACAUCACUAUCUGGGUAUGUGACAUCUUCCACAAAAUUGGACAAGUUGUUAUAGGAGUAUGAUUAUGCAACUUCCUCUAGGUUCCGUUGUUUAAAAAGUUCCAAACAAUUUGGAAAGGAUGUUGAUGUAGGAGAGAUUGAUAAAUCCCAUAUCAGAUUUGUGGACACACAGGAAAAUGCUGAACCCCAUAUAGAAUAUGAUGCUAUCCCUUUCAUUAUUAUGGGCAAAAAAAUCUUGGAAUGUCACCAGGGAUAUGACAGAGACAAACGAAACAACCAAAAGAAACAAAACAAAGCAAGAAAAGAUUCUGACCACACAUAUAGACAAAAGCGUAGAUUGGUG